This is a long non-coding RNA of Oncorhynchus nerka (sockeye salmon), 405 nucleotides long. RefSeq lists it as uncharacterized. NCBI's taxonomy places the organism in Eukaryota, Metazoa, Chordata, Actinopteri, Salmoniformes, Salmonidae. The transcript has 3 exons. The record is from RefSeq and is a predicted model, not a curated record.
GAAGGCUGUAGUUGCAACUGUCAAAGGUAGUGGAAACGCGCAUAAACCAACUUACUAUAUUACUGUACACGGCAGAGAAGAUAAUACCCGUAUAAAAACCCCGAGAGGGGGCUAAGGACCGACGGUGACGACUGUCAGUCCGCCUGCACCGACGCUCAACACUGCAGGUGUGAUUGCCAUGUAAGACCGGGAAAGGCGCAGCCCUACGGCCUGACCCGUACGUGGGUGACCCGGGCCACCCAUCCGGACUCCGACAUUCCAGCAUGGAGAUCCCCAGUAUCCCACGGCUGGCAAAGCUGUCAUCAAGGGGUCGUCCUCCAAAACAGGCCCACCCCCAGGAGACUGCCAGGACCACAGCUACAGCCCCUGGGAACAACAAACACAGUAAGUGACCUCUGAUCACAA